Molecule: ribosomal RNA, 275 nt
Filed under: uncultured bacterium
Lineage: Bacteria
Description: partial 16S ribosomal RNA
Rfam family: Bacterial small subunit ribosomal RNA
Source: RNAcentral
GCGUGAGUGAUGAAGGCCCUAGGGUUGUAAAGCUCUUUUAGCGGGGAAGAUAAUGACGGUACCCGCAGAAAAAGCCCCGGCUAACUUCGUGCCAGCAGCCGCGGUAAUACGAAGGGGGCUAGCGUUGUUCGGAAUUACUGGGCGUAAAGCGCGCGUAGGCGGAUCGUUAAGUCAGGGGUGAAAUCCCGAGGCUCAACCUCGGAACUGCCCUUGAUACUGGCGAUCUUGAGUCCGGGAGAGGUGUAUGGAACUCCUAGUGUAGAGGUGGAAUUCGU